RNAcentral lists this ribosomal RNA (100 nucleotides) under Pseudomonas aeruginosa. RNAcentral's name for it is "partial 23S ribosomal RNA". It matches the Rfam family "Bacterial large subunit ribosomal RNA", at positions 2826 to 2925 of the family's 2925-position model. Lineage: Bacteria; Pseudomonadati; Pseudomonadota; Gammaproteobacteria; Pseudomonadales; Pseudomonadaceae. RNAcentral also lists the same sequence under 32 other names. The record is from RNAcentral.
CCUGAAGGAACGUUGAAGACGACGACGUUGAUAGGCCGGGUGUGUAAGCGCAGCGAUGCGUUGAGCUAACCGGUACUAAUGAACCGUGAGGCUUAACCUU